This 960-nucleotide ribosomal RNA is filed under the name Didymella brunneospora. RNAcentral's name for it is "eukaryotic LSU rRNA". It matches the Rfam family "Eukaryotic large subunit ribosomal RNA", at positions 68 to 1048 of the family's 3401-position model. The record is from RNAcentral. Lineage: Eukaryota; Fungi; Ascomycota; Dothideomycetes; Pleosporales; Didymellaceae. RNAcentral also lists the same sequence under 1 other name.
ACAGGGAUUGCCUUAGUAACGGCGAGUGAAGCGGCAACAGCUCAAAUUUGAAAUCUGGCGUCUUUGGCGUCCGAGUUGUAAUUUGCAGAGGGCGCUUUGGCAUUGGCAGCGGUCCAAGUUCCUUGGAACAGGACGUCACAGAGGGUGAGAAUCCCGUACGUGGUCGCUAGCCUUUACCGUGUAAAGCCCCUUCGACGAGUCGAGUUGUUUGGGAAUGCAGCUCUAAAUGGGAGGUAAAUUUCUUCUAAAGCUAAAUACUGGCCAGAGACCGAUAGCGCACAAGUAGAGUGAUCGAAAGAUGAAAAGCACUUUGGAAAGAGAGUUAAAAAGCACGUGAAAUUGUUGAAAGGGAAGCGCUUGCAGCCAGACUUGCCUGUAGUUGCUCAUCUAGGUUUCUACCUAGUGCACUCUUCUAUAGGCAGGCCAGCAUCAGUUUGGGCGGUUGGAUAAAGGUCUCUGUCAUGUACCUCUCUUCGGGGAGAACUUAUAGGGGAGACGACAUGCAACCAGCCUGGACUGAGGUCCGCGCAUCUGCUAGGAUGCUGGCGUAAUGGCUGUAAGCGGCCCGUCUUGAAACACGGACCAAGGAGUCUAACAUCUAUGCGAGUGUUUGGGUGUCAAGCCCGAGCGCGUAAUGAAAGUGAACGGAGGUGGGAACCUUUCGGGGUGCACCAUCGACCGAUCCUGAUGUCUUCGGAUGGAUUUGAGUAAGAGCAUAGCUGUUGGGACCCGAAAGAUGGUGAACUAUGCUUGAAUAGGGUGAAGCCAGAGGAAACUCUGGUGGAGGCUCGCAGCGGUUCUGACGUGCAAAUCGAUCGUCAAAUUUGGGCAUAGGGGCGAAAGACUAAUCGAACUAUCUAGUAGCUGGUUCCUGCCGAAGUUUCCCUCAGGAUAGCAGUAACGUUUUCAGUUUUAUGAGGUAAAGCGAAUGAUUAGAGGCCUGGGGGUUGAAACAACCUU